GCACCGAAGCCGUGAGGUGAAGGUGUGACGGUGUCAGCAGGGAGGGCUCAGGGCAGGGACCGGGCUCUGCUCCCUGGGCCCAGCCAUGGCACAGGAGGAUGGGCAGGAACUGAUGCCCAGCAAGUUCCACCUGAACACGAGGAAGAACUUCUUCCCUACGUGGCUGUGUCUCACGGUUUAGCAGCUCCCCCGGAAGGCUGGCCCAAAGCCAUGCAGCCACUCCUGUCACCCAGGCUGGGCUGAGCCCCUGCAGCAGGGAGGCACCACCAAGGAGCGAGUGUUUGUGUGCACGGUCGGCAGGGACACACCUGGGGCGCCUGGCAAAGCCUGCCCGGCUCGGGUCCCUGCCGUCGGUCCUGCUGCGGGGCAUUCUCGGGCUGCGGGAGCCAGC
Long non-coding RNA from Passer montanus (Eurasian tree sparrow), 391 nucleotides. RefSeq lists it as uncharacterized. The record is from RefSeq and is a predicted model, not a curated record. The transcript has 3 exons. NCBI's taxonomy places the organism in Eukaryota, Metazoa, Chordata, Aves, Passeriformes, Passeridae.